CCUCCGGGCCACUCAGAUCCACAUCCACGCCUCGUCCUUCCGCAGGAACAGACUUUCCCCUUUCUUUCUUUCUUCUUCUUCUUCUUUUUUUUUUUUUUUUUUUUGGUGAACGUGUGAGCCUCACUCCUGCCAAGGCCUCCCAGCUGCUCAUAUUUGUUUAAGUUUAACCUUAGCUGAUCCACUGGAAAAGGAAACAGUCUAGUUUGUCAAGCCAGGAGACAGCUGCUGCUCUUUGGAGACCUCCCUUACACCCUGGAAAUCUGACGCUGCUAGUUCCCGAGGCCAAAUACUACCACGCUCUCAAAACCUCCUGCCAUAAAGCAGCGUAAACAAUCGGCCAAGUCCACGUCUUACAUCAGUGCCACCGCGGGACACCCUGUGGGAACUCAGUACUGGGACAGAUUUUCACUCGUGCCAUCAGCUGAGGCAACAGCACAGCCGGAAAUCCACGGGAACCCAGAAGUAUGAACUUCACCGCCUCCCUCCUUUACAUCUGACCACUCUGGACUUUCAGUUUCCUUUCACUAACCCUGACCCUGACGAGGUGUGAACAACUUGAAUGAGUUCUCCAGGUGGAAAACGCAGGAGAGCAAGUGAGAGAGAGUGUUCCAGUCAGUGUAACUGAGGCCUGAGCAAGCCUGGACUUCACAGCUGCAAGCAGCCAAUGGGUACUCAGGACAAAAGGGCCUGGGGACCGCAUUGGGGACUACAGAGAAGACAGCACACAGCCGUCUAAUGGACGUCCCAGUUUCUAGUGCUUUCCUUGGAGAGGCUGUGGAUCUGCCGACUGUCCCAUGCUCCUGCCCCAGGUGCAGCAAGGGGCCUGGACUGCAGGGCGGGGGGUUCAUGCCCUUGCUCCUGUGCGGCAGGCUCCGGGCUCUUGGGUCACCAUUCGCCGGUGUGAAGGGACAACAGGAGAGCCCCACAGCCCAGCACUGGGAGACUUCUUGGCUCACCAGGCUGGCAGGGCUCAAAACCCAAGUGAGAGAAGGUUCUGGCCGCUUACUGGGGAGCUGACAAUGAAGGCCUUCAGACAGUCACUCAUUCAUGCCAGCCAUCAAUGAAGAAAGGGAAGCAGAUGCCAACCCCAGAGAGACGCCAGGGGAAGGCUGUGUGGGCAGAGAGAAGGGAUGGAGAGCUGCACAGGGGAAGAACCUCUGCGUGUCACAGACAAAACAACCUGCGAGUCUGUCACACCGCGAAGACACCUCGGCUCUGGAAGAGCUAGCUCCUCAGGGCACAAGAACUUCGGUGUGUGUGUCUGCCUGACCCUCUCCUCCCUCUUUCUGUGCACUGAGACAGCGUCUUGCUAGGUGGCCCUGGCUAGCUUAGAACUCUGUCGUCCAGGCUGGCUUCACACUUGCUAUCCGGCUCAGUACUGAGACUAGAACUGCACGCCACAAUAAUGCCUGGCUGUGUCCCCACAAGCCAGACCUAACCUAAGCACGCUGGCCUAAACCACUUUUCUAUCCCUGGAAUAAUGACCAAGGCAAUGAAUAGAAGAAACCGAGGGCUUAAUUCUGAACCACAAGCGUGAGGCAGAGAGUGAACUAGAAAUGGUUUACGCUUUCAUAGCUGCCAUACCUCCUCCAACAAGGCCACACCCAAAAAAUGCCACCAACUGGGGACCAAGGGCUCCAAGGUCCGGGCUAUGGAGGACAGCGGAUUCAAACCAUCACACGGUGCAAGUCUGUAAUUCAGUUCAGGGUGCUGAGGCAAGAGGACUGCUUUGAGUUCAAGGCCAGUCAGGCUCACAGCAAGCCAGAAAGAGCACUGAAGACACGUGUGCCCAGCAGUCCCGGCACAAGGCUGCACUGUUCUUGCGGGCACAUGCUUUCUCCAGGAGACACGGUCACUACCACAACCCUGAUCCAAAGGAGUCCAUUCCGGCCCAUACAACCUGAGAACGGAAGAGAAUUCGAGUGGGAGCCAAGAGGUGCAAGAGACAGCCCAUCCCAGUGACUCCCCUCGGGUCUAUUUCAGACAGGACAGCUGGGAUGCGUGGAGGCUGCUCUGGGACACUCUGGUGUGAGUGGUCACCUCCUGUCUCUGCAGUGCCUCUAAGUGAUGAGACGGUAAGGGUGGACUCAGUGGACUAGGACUUAUGUCCCAGCUCUAACAACACUGGACAUCCAUAGCCAUAUUUUUUCUCUUCUGUAGCUGCUGUAAUGUUCAGCCUGUUCGAGUCUCAAAGACACAACUAAGUUAUUCCUC
Mesocricetus auratus (golden hamster) is the source of this 2214-nucleotide long non-coding RNA. RefSeq lists it as uncharacterized. The transcript is spliced from 2 exons. Lineage: Eukaryota; Metazoa; Chordata; Mammalia; Rodentia; Cricetidae. The record is from RefSeq and is a predicted model, not a curated record.